RNAcentral lists this ribosomal RNA (2930 nucleotides) under Escherichia coli. Its description in RNAcentral is "bacterial LSU rRNA". It matches the Rfam family "Bacterial large subunit ribosomal RNA". The record is from RNAcentral. RNAcentral also lists the same sequence under 2 other names. Lineage: Bacteria; Pseudomonadati; Pseudomonadota; Gammaproteobacteria; Enterobacterales; Enterobacteriaceae.
GGGUUGUGAGGUUAAGCGACUAAGCGUACACGGUGGAUGCCCUGGCAGUCAGAGGCGAUGAAGGACGUGCUAAUCUGCGAUAAGCGUCGGUAAGGUGAUAUGAACCGUUAUAACCGGCGAUUUCCGAAUGGGGAAACCCAGUGUGUUUCGACACACUAUCAUUAACUGAAUCCAUAGGUUAAUGAGGCGAACCGGGGGAACUGAAACAUCUAAGUACCCCGAGGAAAAGAAAUCAACCGAGAUUCCCCCAGUAGCGGCGAGCGAACGGGGAGCAGCCCAGAGCCUGAAUCAGUGUGUGUGUUAGUGGAAGCGUCUGGAAAGGCGCGCGAUACAGGGUGACAGCCCCGUACACAAAAAUGCACAUGCUGUGAGCUCGAUGAGUAGGGCGGGACACGUGGUAUCCUGUCUGAAUAUGGGGGGACCAUCCUCCAAGGCUAAAUACUCCUGACUGACCGAUAGUGAACCAGUACCGUGAGGGAAAGGCGAAAAGAACCCCGGCGAGGGGAGUGAAAAAGAACCUGAAACCGUGUACGUACAAGCAGUGGGAGCACGCUUAGGCGUGUGACUGCGUACCUUUUGUAUAAUGGGUCAGCGACUUAUAUUCUGUAGCAAGGUUAACCGAAUAGGGGAGCCGAAGGGAAACCGAGUCUUAACUGGGCGUUAAGUUGCAGGGUAUAGACCCGAAACCCGGUGAUCUAGCCAUGGGCAGGUUGAAGGUUGGGUAACACUAACUGGAGGACCGAACCGACUAAUGUUGAAAAAUUAGCGGAUGACUUGUGGCUGGGGGUGAAAGGCCAAUCAAACCGGGAGAUAGCUGGUUCUCCCCGAAAGCUAUUUAGGUAGCGCCUCGUGAAUUCAUCUCCGGGGGUAGAGCACUGUUUCGGCAAGGGGGUCAUCCCGACUUACCAACCCGAUGCAAACUGCGAAUACCGGAGAAUGUUAUCACGGGAGACACACGGCGGGUGCUAACGUCCGUCGUGAAGAGGGAAACAACCCAGACCGCCAGCUAAGGUCCCAAAGUCAUGGUUAAGUGGGAAACGAUGUGGGAAGGCCCAGACAGCCAGGAUGUUGGCUUAGAAGCAGCCAUCAUUUAAAGAAAGCGUAAUAGCUCACUGGUCGAGUCGGCCUGCGCGGAAGAUGUAACGGGGCUAAACCAUGCACCGAAGCUGCGGCAGCGACGCUUAUGCGUUGUUGGGUAGGGGAGCGUUCUGUAAGCCUGCGAAGGUGUGCUGUGAGGCAUGCUGGAGGUAUCAGAAGUGCGAAUGCUGACAUAAGUAACGAUAAAGCGGGUGAAAAGCCCGCUCGCCGGAAGACCAAGGGUUCCUGUCCAACGUUAAUCGGGGCAGGGUGAGUCGACCCCUAAGGCGAGGCCGAAAGGCGUAGUCGAUGGGAAACAGGUUAAUAUUCCUGUACUUGGUGUUACUGCGAAGGGGGGACGGAGAAGGCUAUGUUGGCCGGGCGACGGUUGUCCCGGUUUAAGCGUGUAGGCUGGUUUUCCAGGCAAAUCCGGAAAAUCAAGGCUGAGGCGUGAUGACGAGGCACUACGGUGCUGAAGCAACAAAUGCCCUGCUUCCAGGAAAAGCCUCUAAGCAUCAGGUAACAUCAAAUCGUACCCCAAACCGACACAGGUGGUCAGGUAGAGAAUACCAAGGCGCUUGAGAGAACUCGGGUGAAGGAACUAGGCAAAAUGGUGCCGUAACUUCGGGAGAAGGCACGCUGAUAUGUAGGUGAAGCGACUUGCUCGUGGAGCUGAAAUCAGUCGAAGAUACCAGCUGGCUGCAACUGUUUAUUAAAAACACAGCACUGUGCAAACACGAAAGUGGACGUAUACGGUGUGACGCCUGCCCGGUGCCGGAAGGUUAAUUGAUGGGGUUAGCGCAAGCGAAGCUCUUGAUCGAAGCCCCGGUAAACGGCGGCCGUAACUAUAACGGUCCUAAGGUAGCGAAAUUCCUUGUCGGGUAAGUUCCGACCUGCACGAAUGGCGUAAUGAUGGCCAGGCUGUCUCCACCCGAGACUCAGUGAAAUUGAACUCGCUGUGAAGAUGCAGUGUACCCGCGGCAAGACGGAAAGACCCCGUGAACCUUUACUAUAGCUUGACACUGAACAUUGAGCCUUGAUGUGUAGGAUAGGUGGGAGGCUUAGAAGUGUGGACGCCAGUCUGCAUGGAGCCGACCUUGAAAUACCACCCUUUAAUGUUUGAUGUUCUAACGUUGACCCGUAAUCCGGGUUGCGGACAGUGUCUGGUGGGUAGUUUGACUGGGGCGGUCUCCUCCUAAAGAGUAACGGAGGAGCACGAAGGUUGGCUAAUCCUGGUCGGACAUCAGGAGGUUAGUGCAAUGGCAUAAGCCAGCUUGACUGCGAGCGUGACGGCGCGAGCAGGUGCGAAAGCAGGUCAUAGUGAUCCGGUGGUUCUGAAUGGAAGGGCCAUCGCUCAACGGAUAAAAGGUACUCCGGGGAUAACAGGCUGAUACCGCCCAAGAGUUCAUAUCGACGGCGGUGUUUGGCACCUCGAUGUCGGCUCAUCACAUCCUGGGGCUGAAGUAGGUCCCAAGGGUGAUGCUGUUCGCCAUUUAAAGUGGUACGCGAGCUGGGUUUAGAACGUCGUGAGACAGUUCGGUCCCUAUCUGCCGUGGGCGCUGGAGAACUGAGGGGGGCUGCUCCUAGUACGAGAGGACCGGAGUGGACGCAUCACUGGUGUUCGGGUUGUCAUGCCAAUGGCACUGCCCGGUAGCUAAAUGCGGAAGAGAUAAGUGCUGAAAGCAUCUAAGCACGAAACUUGCCCCGAGAUGAGUUCUCCCUGACCCUUUAAGGGUCCUGAAGGAACGUUGAAGACGACGACGUUGAUAGGCCGGGUGUGUAAGCGCAGCGAUGCGUUGAGCUAACCGGUACUAAUGAACCGUGAGGCUUAACCUUACAACGCCGAAGCUGUU